This 467-nucleotide ribosomal RNA is filed under the name uncultured bacterium. RNAcentral describes it as "bacterial SSU rRNA". It matches the Rfam family "Bacterial small subunit ribosomal RNA", at positions 328 to 792 of the family's 1533-position model. The record is from RNAcentral.
GUUCCAGACUCCUACGGGAGGCAGCAGUGAGGAAUAUUGGUCAAUGGGCGGGAGCCUGAACCAGCCAAGCCGCGUGAAGGAAGAAGGCGCCAGGCGUCGUAAACUUCUUUUGUCGGGGAACAAAGGGCGCCACGCGUGGCGUUGUGAGUGUACCCGAAGAAAAAGCAUCGGCUAACUCCGUGCCAGCAGCCGCGGUAAUACGGAGGAUGCGAGCGUUAUCCGGAUUUAUUGGGUUUAAAGGGUGCGUAGACGGCCAGACAAGUCUGAAGUGAAAAUCCAGCGCUUAACGUUGGAAGUGCUUUGGAAACUGCCGGGCUAGAGUGCAGGAGGGGCAGGCGGAAUUCCUAGUGUAGCGGUGAAAUGCGUAGAUAUUAGGAGGAACACCAGUGGCGAAGGCGGCCUGCUGGACUGCAACUGACGUUGAGGCUCGAAGGCGUGGGGAGCAAACAGGAUUAGAUACCCCCGUA